UGGGGAAUCUUGCGCAAUGGGCGAAAGCCUGACGCAGCGACGCCGCGUGUGCGAUGAAGGUCUUCGGAUCGUAAAGCACUGUCGGAGGGGACGAAAUCUCGAUGGAUAAUACCUGUCGAGGAUGACGGUACCCUCAAAGGAAGCACCGGCUAACUCUGUGCCAGCAGCCGCGGUAAUACAGAGGGUGCUAGCGUUGUUCGGAAUUAUUGGGCGUAAAGCGCUUGUAGGCGGCGUGUUAAGUCCCGUGUGAAAUCCCUCGGCUCAACUGAGGAAGUGCGCGGGAAACUGGCAUGCUUGAGUCCUGGAGAGGGUCGCGGAAUUCCCGGUGUAGAGGUGAAAUUCGUAGAUAUCGGGAGGAACACCAGUGGCGAAGGCGGCGACCUGGACAGAGACUGACGCUGAGACGCGAAAGCGUGGGGAGCAAACAGGAUUAGAUACCCCCGUAGUCC
Molecule: ribosomal RNA, 449 nt
Filed under: uncultured bacterium
Lineage: Bacteria
Description: bacterial SSU rRNA
Rfam family: Bacterial small subunit ribosomal RNA
Source: RNAcentral